RNAcentral lists this unclassified non-coding RNA (348 nucleotides) under soil metagenome. RNAcentral describes it as "partial contains 5.8S ribosomal RNA, internal transcribed spacer 2, and large subunit ribosomal RNA". The stretch from base 1 to 120 matches the Rfam family "5.8S ribosomal RNA", at positions 35 to 154 of the family's 154-position model. The record is from RNAcentral.
GAUGAAGAACGUAGCGAAAUGCGAUAAGUAAUGUGAAUUGCAGAAUUCAGUGAAUCAUCGAGUCUUUGAACGCACAUUGCGCCCCCUGGUAUUCCGGGGGGCAUGCCUGUCCGAGCGUCAUUGCCGCCCUCAAGCACGGCUUGUGUGUUGGGCCCCCGCCCCCCGGCUUCGGGGGGCGGGCCCGAAAGGCAGCGGCGGCACCGCGUCCGGUCCUCGAGCGUGUGGGGCUUCGUCACCCGCUCUGUAGGCCCGGCCGGCGCCCGCCGGCGACCCCAAUCAAUCUUUCCAGGUUGACCUCGGAUCAGGUAGGGAUACCCGCUGAACUUAAGCAUAUCAAUAAGCGGAGGA